Molecule: ribosomal RNA, 1810 nt
Filed under: Phyllocoptacus camelliae
Lineage: Eukaryota; Metazoa; Arthropoda; Arachnida; Trombidiformes; Eriophyidae
Description: bacterial SSU rRNA
Rfam family: Eukaryotic small subunit ribosomal RNA
Source: RNAcentral
UGUAAAGUUCAAGCUCCGAUUAUGAGGGCGAAACCGCGAAUGGCUCAUUAAAUCAGUCAUAAUCUACUUGAUUGUUUAAAGGUAUAUGGAUAACUGUGGUAAUUCUAGAGCUAAUACAUGCACAAAGGGGGCGACUCGAGCAAUCGAGAAGCUCUGCGUUUAUUAGAUUAAGACCAAUGAUUGGCGCAAGCCUUUCUGUUUUAAGGUGACUCUGAAUAAAUAAUGGGUGAAAGCCCAUGUUGCUGACCUGACACACCAAAAAGGGCGCAAGCUCUUGUCAGGCAAAUCAAUCGAGUGUCUGCUCUAUCAACUGUGGAUGGUAGGGUAAUUGCCUACCAUGGUGAUGACGGGUAACGGGGAGUUAGGGCUCGACUCCGGAGAACAAGCCUGAGAAACGGCUAGUAGGACUAAGGUCUGCAGCAGGCGCGAAACUUACACAAUGCUAGAUUAAAAUUAGCGAUGUAGUGAAGAAAAAUAACGAUGUACUUUCAUCUACAAAUGAUAGUACAAUUGGAAUGAGACGACUAUAAACCAGUUAGUCGAGUAACAAAUGGAGGGCAAGUCUGGUGCCAGCAGCCGCGGUAAUUCCAGCUCCAUUAGCAUACAUUAAAGUUGUUGCGGUUAAAAAGCUCGUAGUUGAAUUUUAGGCGAGCUCUAUUGGAUUGCAACCGUAAAGACUGCCUUGCUCACGCUCGGUCAGUUGGUUGUAUCAUCCUAUAGGAACUCGCUGUUUCGUCACUUAAUCGAGUGCGAAGCGGGCUGAAACAUUUGUUUAAACUUCGCGUUUGCAUUGUUCCAGCAAGUUUACCUUGAGAAAAUUAGAGUGCUCACAGCAGGCAGUUGGGGUGUAAAAGCCCCUUUAUGCUUGGAUAAUGUUGCAUGGAAUAAUAGAAUACGGCCUCGGUUCUAUUCUGUUGGUCUUAUAGAACAACAAACAAGUUGGUUAAAGCGACAAAAAGUUCGUUUGUGAGUGUGGCUAUAAGGGUCUUUCAUGUUGUUUAGUUCUGUCUUUAAGGGUUAUGUUGCCUGGGAGUAAAACCUCAGAGCCAUGCCCUUCCAGUCUAGUCUACACAGCUGUCUGUUACUCUUAUAACCAUUUAAAGCACUCCUAACUGGGCUAGCUUUCUAAUCAACUGAGGCAAUGGUUAAAAGAAAUAGUCGCGGCGGCAUCAGUACUGCAUCGUGAGAGGUGAAAUUCUUAGACCGAUGCAAGACUAACUGAAGCGAAAGCGUUUGCCGAGGAUAUUUUCAUUAAUCAAGAACGAAAGUUAGAGGUUCGAAGGCGAUCAGAUACCGCCCUAGUUCUAACCAUAAACGUUGCCAACUAGCAAUUGGGUUGCGAUUCCUUUAAUCGAAGCGUAAAAAACUUCGAUCAUUAUGAUCCACCCAGCGGCUCUCGUAGGGAAACCAAAGUGUUUGGGUUCCGGGGGAAGUAUGAUUGCAAAGUUGAAACUUAAAGGAAUUGACGGAAGGGCACCACCAGGAGUGGAGCCUGCGGCUUAAUUUGACUCAACACGGGGAAACUUACUAGAUUAGAACUCUGGAAUGAUUGACAGAUUGAUAGCUCUUUCUUGAUUCAGAGGAUGGUGGUGCAUGGCCGUUCUUGAUUCGUAUUCCGAAACGUCUGCUUAAUUGCGAUAACGAGUGAGACCUCACCCAACUAACUAGUCGUUUGGUGCGCUGUGGGACGCAAAAGUCUCUGUAGGAUUUGGCUGGUGUGUAAAAGCAUCAGACUGCCUGCGUGGGAUGUCCUCUGCUCGCCUGCGGACUUCUUAGAGGGAUAAACGGUGUUUUAGCCGUAAGAAACGAG